CUCUGCGGACAGGGCCAGGAGAGAUGCGCAGGGCUCCGGAGAGGUCUGCCCGCACCCCGGCCCGUGCCCAGGGAGCUCGGGCCCCAGCGAAGAGUGGCGCUCCAAGCCUCCUCGCAGCUCUCAGAUGUCACAUGUGGAAGCCACGCGGAUGGUCUGUCCCUGAGAUGAGUGAGAUACCAGCUGUCCAGGUUGCAUGUGUGCUGCUCGGAAACACAGGUGUGCACAGGUACAAGUGUACGUAUUCUACCACCACUUGGGCGAAAAAACACAGCAGCCGGAGGGAGGCACUUGUUCGGAUUUCUCUCACUGUGAGACAUUUAUGCUGAUGUGUCUGCAAAGGCUCAUGGGUGAGUGCUCGCUGUCAUCGGCAGAGGUUGGCUGGGGACCCUGUUCGGUCAGCAUGGGAGUCCGGGGACUGUCUCAGAGGUAAUCAGCAUGGUCGCAGCGUCAGGUGUGCAUCUUAACACGAAAAGUCUGUGACGGAGGGCUGGCAUUCUGGAACCUCAAGUCCCAAGUGCCUUGGUGCUGAGGAAGGGGGCCUGGGAGCUUUGUGGCUUGGAGGGGGGAGGUGGCCUGAAUGGAUGUCCUGCAGGGGUGUUCCUGGUUGGCUUGUUGGAGUGGCUGGCCCCACGUCUGCCCCUCCCUCUUCCUCCCAGGCUGCCGGGUCUCUGAGGGUUGCCCGGAAGCUGCGGAGCCCUCAGUGGCCUGUGGCUCCAGCAUCCACAGGCCCUGUCCUCAUGGCACUGGGAGAUGAAAGAGAGGACAGGGCGGUGGGGCUCUCUGGAAUUCGGCAUCUUGAAGAUGCCUCCGGAGAGGUCAGCAGGGCAGCCGUGGCCUGAGCUCCAAUGUGAGAGGGAGCAAGGCUCUCCUGAAUUCGGGGAAUUCCUGCUUCCUCUGUUUAUUGAAAAUAUCUCCAAGAGGCUUGGUUGUUUUUCGGGGCUGUCUCCUGCUUCCAGCGCGUGCGUGUGUGUGUGUGGGGGGGGGGGCAAACUCUUCUUUCACAUCCCUGUGUUGCGUUAGAAGCAGGAAGGCAAGGGUUCUUCCUCCUCCUCAUCCCCAUCUGUGCCCAGGCUAUGGGUGGGAGCAGAGUCCCGUUUGGGGAGGCUGCCGAUAGGCUCCCCCAGGGCUGGAACAGGGGACAGAAACAGCUGGGUCUGCCCGGUGCAGGUGGGGGCUGCUCUCUCCUCUUCCUUUUUUUUUUCUGACCACCCAGGCUGGCUCGCUGUCCCCCCCCCCUCCCCCAGGCAUUUCCGCCGCUCAGCCCUCUGCAGCCAGGUGUAACAGCAUUGUUGUGUGUGUCAUCACUUCCCCGAAUUCCACCCUCGG
Molecule: long non-coding RNA, 1326 nt
Filed under: Oryctolagus cuniculus (rabbit)
Lineage: Eukaryota; Metazoa; Chordata; Mammalia; Lagomorpha; Leporidae
Description: lncRNA (ENSOCUG00000033927.1)
Source: RNAcentral